GAACGCUGGCGGCGUGCCUAAUACAUGCAAGUCGAACGCACAGCGAAAGGUGCUUGCACCUUUCAAGUGAGUGGCGAACGGGUGAGUAACACGUGGACAACCUGCCUCAAGGCUGGGGAUAACAUUUGGAAACAGAUGCUAAUACCGAAUAAAACUUAGUGUCGCAUGACACAAAGUUAAAAGGCGCUUCGGCGUCACCUAGAGAUGGAUCCGCGGUGCAUUAGUUAGUUGGUGGGGUAAAGGCCUACCAAGACAAUGAUGCAUAGCCGAGUUGAGAGACUGAUCGGCCACAUUGGGACUGAGACACGGCCCAAACUCCUACGGGAGGCUGCAGUAGGGAAUCUUCCACAAUGGGCGAAAGCCUGAUGGAGCAACGCCGCGUGUGUGAUGAAGGCUUUCGGGUCGUAAAGCACUGUUGUAUGGGAAGAACAGCUAGAAUAGGAAAUGAUUUUAGUUUGACGGUACCAUACCAGAAAGGGACGGCUAAAUACGUGCCAGCAGCCGCGGUAAUACGUAUGUCCCGAGCGUUAUCCGGAUUUAUUGGGCGUAAAGCGAGCGCAGACGGUUUAUUAAGUCUGAUGUGAAAGCCCGGAGCUCAACUCCGGAAUGGCAUUGGAAACUGGUUAACUUGAGUGCAGUAGAGGUAAGUGGAACUCCAUGUGUAGCGGUGGAAUGCGUAGAUAUAUGGAAGAACACCAGUGGCGAAGGCGGCUUACUGGACUGCAACUGACGUUGAGGCUCGAAAGUGUGGGUAGCAAACAGGAUUAGAUACCCUGGUAGUCCACACCGUAAACGAUGAACACUAGGUGUUAGGAGGUUUCCGCCUCUUAGUGCCGAAGCUAACGCAUUAAGUGUUCCGCCUGGGGAGUACGACCGCAAGGUUGAAACUCAAAGGAAUUGACGGGGACCCGCACAAGCGGUGGAGCAUGUGGUUUAAUUCGAAGCAACGCGAAGAACCUUACCAGGUCUUGACAUCCUUUGAAGCUUUUAGAGAUAGAAGUGUUCUCUUCGGAGACAAAGUGACAGGUGGUGCAUGGUCGUCGUCAGCUCGUGUCGUGAGAUGUUGGGUUAAGUCCCGCAACGAGCGCAACCCUUAUUGUUAGUUGCCAGCAUUCAGAUGGGCACUCUAGCGAGACUGCCGGUGACAAACCGGAGGAAGGCGGGGACGACGUCAGAUCAUCAUGCCCCUUAUGACCUGGGCUACACACGUGCUACAAUGGCGUAUACAACGAGUUGCCAACCCGCGAGGGUGAGCUAAUCUCUUAAAGUACGUCUCAGUUCGGAUUGUAGUCUGCAACUCGACUACAUGAAGUCGGAAUCGCUAGUAAUCGCGGAUCAGCACGCCGCGGUGAAUACGUUCCCGGGUCUUGUACACACCGCCCGUCACACCAUGGGAGUUUGUAAUGCCCAAAGCCGGUGGCCUAACCUUUUAGGAAGGAGCCGUCUAAGGCAGGACAGAUGACUGGGGUGAAG
RNAcentral lists this ribosomal RNA (1473 nucleotides) under Leuconostoc mesenteroides. Its description in RNAcentral is "partial 16S ribosomal RNA". It matches the Rfam family "Bacterial small subunit ribosomal RNA". RNAcentral also lists the same sequence under 1 other name. Lineage: Bacteria; Bacillati; Bacillota; Bacilli; Lactobacillales; Lactobacillaceae. The record is from RNAcentral.